GCCGCAUUCGUCUAGUGGCCCAGGACGUCACGUUCUCAACGUGAAGAUCAGGGGUUCGAAUCCCCUAUGCGGUA
This 74-nucleotide transfer RNA is filed under the name Candidatus Levybacteria bacterium RBG_16_35_11. RNAcentral describes it as "tRNA-Glu". It matches the Rfam family "tRNA". From Rfam's summary of the family: Transfer RNA (tRNA) molecules are approximately 80 nucleotides in length. The record is from RNAcentral. Lineage: Bacteria; Candidatus Levyibacteriota.